Molecule: ribosomal RNA, 506 nt
Filed under: uncultured bacterium
Lineage: Bacteria
Description: partial 16S ribosomal RNA
Rfam family: Bacterial small subunit ribosomal RNA
Source: RNAcentral
AGUGAACGCUGGCGGUAGGCCUAACACAUGCAAGUCGAACGGCAGCACAGGAGAGCUUGCUCUCUGGGUGGCGAGUGGCGGACGGGUGAGGAAUACAUCGGAAUCUACUCUGUCGUGGGGGAUAACGUAGGGAAACUUACGCUAAUACCGCAUACGACCUACGGGUGAAAGCAGGGGACCUUCGGGCCUUGCGCGAUUGAAUGAGCCGAUGUCGGAUUAGCUAGUUGGCGGGGUAAAGGCCCACCAAGGCGACGAUCCGUAGCUGGUCUGAGAGGAUGAUCAGCCACACUGGAACUGAGACACGGUCCAGACUCCUACGGGAGGCAGCAGUGGGGAAUAUUGGACAAUGGGCGCAAGCCUGAUCCAGCCAUACCGCGUGGGUGAAGAAGGCCUUCGGGUUGUAAAGCCCUUUUGUUGGGAAAGAAAUCCAGCUGGCUAAUACCCGGUUGGGAUGACGGUACCCAAAGAAUAAGUACCGGCUAACCUCGUGCCAGCCGCCGCGGUAA